AGCUUUAAGGAAAGCUCUUUGUUUUUUGAAAUGAUGCUUUUAUGAGAUAGAGCUUUUUUAGAUAAUGCUUUUUUAGAUAAUGCUGGGGAAGGUUUUCCGGUUUAUCUCGGAGGGCUUGUAGCUCAGUUGGUUAGAGCGCGCGCUUGAUAAGCGUGAGGUCGGAGGUUCAAGUCCUCCCAGGCCCACCAAUUUACCUAUCCAUUUGCCUUUAUCCGUUUAUUUGCCGAUUUAUCGGUCCAUUGAAUUUAAGUGUUGGUAGCAGUUUUUAUAAUGAUGAGAAAUCAUGCUUAUAAAAAAACUCCUUAUAAAAGGCUUGUUUUUAAAAUGUGACGCUUAUCCAUUUCGCUUAGGCAAGAGAAACUUCAAGCGGUUCAAAUGCAAAAGGCUUUAAAUUUUGCAAAACAAUUUGAAUUUUAAAGUGAUCCAAGUUCGUGAUCUCGAAUUUGAAAGUUUCGAAUGCUUUAUCCUUUUUUGGGGGCCGUAGCUCAGCUGGGAGAGCACCUGCUUUGCAAGCAGG
RNAcentral lists this unclassified non-coding RNA (517 nucleotides) under uncultured Bartonella sp. RNAcentral describes it as "partial 16S-23S ribosomal RNA intergenic spacer". The stretch from base 112 to 185 matches the Rfam family "tRNA". Lineage: Bacteria; Pseudomonadati; Pseudomonadota; Alphaproteobacteria; Hyphomicrobiales; Bartonellaceae. The record is from RNAcentral.